Molecule: non-coding RNA, 82 nt
Organism: Zea mays
Lineage: Eukaryota; Viridiplantae; Streptophyta; Magnoliopsida; Poales; Poaceae
Source: RefSeq, marked provisional
GUAUUGGCGCGCCUCAAUCCGAAGGCGUGGCUGAUAGAUUGGCGCGGCAGCCAUGUUCUUGGAUUGAGCCGCGUCAAUAUCU